CCUACGGGAGGCAGCAGUCGAGAAUCAUUCACAAUGGGGGAAACCCUGAUGGUGCGACGCCGCGUGGGGGAAUGAAGGUCUUCGGAUUGUAAACCCCUGUCAUGUGGGAGCAAAUUAAAAAGAUAGUACCACAAGAGGAAGAGACGGCUAACUCUGUGCCAGCAGCCGCGGUAAUACAGAGGUCUCAAGCGUUGUUCGGAAUCACUGGGCGUAAAGCGUGCGUAGGCUGUUUCGUAAGUCGUGUGUGAAAGGCGCGGGCUCAACCCGCGGACGGCACAUGAUACUGCGAGACUAGAGUGAUGGAGGGGGAACCGGAAUGCUCGGUGUAGCAGUGAAAUGCGUAGAUAUCGAGAGGAACACUCGUUGCGAAGGCGGGUUCCUGGACAUUAACUGACGCUGAGGCACGAAGGCCAGGGGAGCGAAAGGGAUUAGAUACCCUAGUAGUC
This 446-nucleotide ribosomal RNA is filed under the name uncultured bacterium. RNAcentral describes it as "partial 16S ribosomal RNA". It matches the Rfam family "Bacterial small subunit ribosomal RNA", at positions 338 to 795 of the family's 1533-position model. The record is from RNAcentral.